Molecule: ribosomal RNA, 407 nt
Filed under: uncultured bacterium
Lineage: Bacteria
Description: partial 16S ribosomal RNA
Rfam family: Bacterial small subunit ribosomal RNA
Source: RNAcentral
AUUGAACGCUGGCGGCAGGCCUAACACAUGCAAGUCGAGCGGAGCGGCGGACGGGUGAGUAAUGCCUAGGAAUCUGCCUGGUAGGGGAGGAUAACGUCCGGAAACGGACGCUAAUACCGCAUCCUAUCAGAUGAGCCUAGGGUGGAUUAGCUAGUUGGUGGGGUACAGGCCUACCAAGGCGACGAUCCGUAACUGGUCUGAGAUGGUGAUCAGUCACACUGGAACUGAGACAAGGUCCAGACUCCUACGGGCGGCAGCAGUGGGGAAUAUUGGACAAUGGGCGAAAGCCUGAUCCAGCCAGGCCGCGUGUGUGAAGAAGGUCUUCGGAUUGUAAAGCACUUUAGGUUGGGAGGCGUUACCAACAGAAUAAGCACCGGCUAACUUCGUGCCAGCAGCCGCGGUAAUUC